UACGUAGGGGGCAAGCGUUGUUCGGAAUUACUGGGCGUAAAGCGCGCGCAGGUGGUCUUUCAAGUCAGUGGUGAAAGCCCGGAGCUCAACUCCGGAAUUGCCAUUGAAACUGUAAGACUUGAGGAUGAGAGAGGUGAGUGGAAUUCCCAGUGUAGAGGUGAAAUUCGUAGAUAUUGGGAAGAACACCGGUGGCGAAGGCGGCUCACUGGCUCAUAUCUGACGCUCAGGCGCGACAGCGUGGGGAGCGAACAGG
RNAcentral lists this ribosomal RNA (253 nucleotides) under uncultured bacterium. RNAcentral describes it as "partial 16S ribosomal RNA". It matches the Rfam family "Bacterial small subunit ribosomal RNA", at positions 524 to 776 of the family's 1533-position model. The record is from RNAcentral.